Molecule: long non-coding RNA, 454 nt
Filed under: Fukomys damarensis (Damara mole-rat)
Lineage: Eukaryota; Metazoa; Chordata; Mammalia; Rodentia; Bathyergidae
Description: lncRNA (ENSFDAG00000026828.1)
Source: RNAcentral
GCUGUCGCUGGCACCUAAGAGACGCAAGCCUACGGCCCCAUACCCGCCUGGCGAGGCGUGGGCACCUCCCCCUGCUCUCUGUGGCCUGUGCGCUUCUUCCCGGCUCCCGAGCACGCCAGGGUCACGCACACGACACCGGGGCUCAGCUGGAGCAGGGCUGUGCACGGCUGCCCAGAACUGUGUGACCCGGGGCGCCGUUUUCCACACACCGAUUCUCUGUGCAGAGAUGGCAUCUCCCACCCGCUGGGGUGCUAUAUUGAGAAGUCUAAUGUCACCGCGUACUUUUGGGAAAGUUUCUUCUAAAUGGAAAUGCAACAUUAUAAACAUUAACGUUUCUGUUUAUGUGCUUACAUCUGUGCGCAGGCGUGUGUGUGUGUGUGUGUGUGUGUGUGUGUAUGUGUGUUUGACUGGGAAUUGAGCCCAGGGCCUUUGCACUGAGCUACAGUUCCAGCUC